AUGGAGCGGAGGGAUGCGCUCCGUUACACUUGACUUAUGUGAAAAUGCAACAAUUGCGUUUUUAACACAAUGAUCUUAUCGCAGAACACGUUGUAACGUGCCCAUUGCUCUUAAUAUCAUAUUUCAUACCAUUUUAACCUAUGUGAAAUUGCAAAUUUGUAAUAUUAACACGUGUCCGAUCUCAUCGCGAAAAACAUCAAUUGUUCUUAAAAAAUAUAUAUUUCGUACCAUUGACCUAUGUGGAUUUGCAAAUUUGCAAUUUUAAUACGUGAGGUGAUCUCAUUGUGACAUGAUAAAGAUAUACGCGAAAUUCAUUGCAGCAGCCAUAUAUUGGUGCUAAUAUUAUUGCAAAUGUUGCAGUGUCUACAGUUACAUCAUAUAUCGAAUGAUGUACGUGUCUAAAGUAGAUUUAUUCUGUAUAAUUUCAUCGCAGCUGCCAUUCGUCGGCGCUUAUGCAAAAAUGCAAAAUUGCAAUUUUAAUGAGAGUUAUAUUUCACAUCUCGCGUAGUAGGAAAAAGAAUAGAAGGGUAUACAAAUUAAAAAGAACUUCAACAAUCAAUUAUUGCAUUAAUCGUUCUGUGAAAGACAAAUAGUCUAUAUCUCUGUAAAAAGAAACAGCUCUUGAAAAAAUGUACAAGGGAAGCUCUGUGAAUUAUUACACUUCGAUUCAACAGAAUGAGGCGUAUAAAAAACAUAUAUCUUCUCAUAAUUCAUCAUCUUCGGAACCUUGUACAUCUCGGGAAGAAGAUUUGCUUUAACAUCCACACACAGCUUAUAAAUAUUUGGAUAUUGGAAUCAACCUUUUGGGACCUGUAUCCUAUGUGGAAUUAUUGGUGAUAAUCGAGGCAAUCAAAUAUUAUUGCCUUAUGUAAUGUGGAAAACUCUCAUCGAAAAAUCGUGGAUAUCGAGCAACUUGUGAAAUCAAUUGCUCCUUCAUCAUUGUCGAUUCAUAAUCUAAUUAUAGAACUUGUUCAAAUGCGAAAUACAAAUAUUGUAAAGUUUACAUUGCGCGAUACAUGCUUGUACAGCCGUCAACCGUAUUCUUUCUAUUUGAAUUUGAACAUUGCGUCGAACAUGUAUAUUACUGGCUCUAUGAGAAUAUAUAUGGUGUCAGCGAAAAA
Pogonomyrmex barbatus (red harvester ant) is the source of this 1121-nucleotide long non-coding RNA. NCBI's taxonomy places the organism in Eukaryota, Metazoa, Arthropoda, Insecta, Hymenoptera, Formicidae. The record is from RefSeq and is a predicted model, not a curated record.